This 253-nucleotide ribosomal RNA is filed under the name uncultured bacterium. Its description in RNAcentral is "partial 16S ribosomal RNA". It matches the Rfam family "Bacterial small subunit ribosomal RNA", at positions 524 to 776 of the family's 1533-position model. The record is from RNAcentral.
UACGUAGGGUGCGAGCGUUAAUCGGAAUUACUGGGCGUAAAGCGUGCGCAGGCGGGCUUUUAAGCCAGACGUGAAAUCCCCGGGCUUAACCUGGGAAUGGCGUUUGGGACUGGAAGUCUGGAGUGCGGCAGAGGAGACUGGAAUUCCUGGUGUAGCAGUGAAAUGCGUAGAUAUCAGGAGGAACACCGGUGGCGAAGGCGGUUCUCUGGGAAUAUCCUGACGCUGAGGAGCGAAAGUGUGGGGAGCGAACAGG